AUGCGAGGGUCCUCCUCAGUCGCGUCUUCGCCCAGCCCCGCCCAAACGGACGUGAAUAGCAUGACGAGGUCCCAGAGAAUCAACCCGGAUUCCCUCGCUGAUGGCGGCGGCAGCGGCGCGAGCAGGAACCCAGCGGCGCCGGCGCCGGCCCCCAAACCGAGCAAGGAGGAGCGCGCCCCGGACGUCGUCGUCGACACCUCACGCCUCGCGCCCUACUUCCCCCGCACCUCGCUGGAGAAUCGUCCGGCGUCCUCAUCCGCUACCCUCCUGAGCCACCAUCGCUACAACGUCGCCAUGGACACGUCCCACUCCCAUGGACCCAACCUCGGCAGUGACGGUGGCAGCGGCAUCGCCUUGUCGGACUGUCCCUUGCCGCUCCAGUGGUGGGGCCACGGGAAGCGCUCGCGCAGCCGUCACCAGGCGCCGGUGCCCGAACCCGAGCUGACGCGCGCCGAGGUGCGCCGUCGGAAAUCCCUCAAGUACAGGAGCCGCAAGGCGGCGAAGGCGCAGGCGCGAGCGGCGAUGGCGCCGCCGCGCGCCCGCGGUCCCAACCUCAGAGCAUCCCCAUCGCCUCCUCCUCGCGCCGGCACCCUCUGGCUCCACGGGUACCCGGGAAUCAACUCGGAUUCCCUCCCUCUCGCUGAUGACGGCAGUGGCAGCGUGAUCCUUAGGCCAGUGGCACCGAUGGCGGGCCCCACACAAAGCAAGGUCGAGCGCACCCCGCUCGUAGUCGCUGACACCUCAUGCCUUGUGCCGUACUUUCCCCGCACCUCGCUGGAGCACCACAUGAUAUGUGGGCGCAUGACAUCCUCAUCCGUUGCCGUCACGAGCCACCAUCCCUACAAUAUCAACAUGCACACAUAUCAGGGACCCAAUGUUGGUUAUGGCGGCGCCAGCGACAUUGCCCGCACCUCACUUGAGCAGCACAUAUUGUGGGGUCAUGCUCCGCACCCGCCUCAACCGGCGUACUCACCAAUUGCGCCCAUGAGCCACCAUCUCUUGAACAACGCCAUGCACACCUCCCCAGGAUCCAACUUCAGUGGCGGUGGCGGCAACGACAUCGCCUCACCGAAUGCCCAUGUGCCGCUUCGGUGGGGCCAAAGGAAGCGCCCGCGUAGCCACCACGCGGCGCCUGGACCCACUCCCGCGCCUAAACCGGAGUUGACCCCCGCCAAGGCGCAGACGCAGGCGGUGAAGCCGAUGGUGUCGUCAGGCGCUCGCGAGCCCAACCUCAUCACCAACAUGUCGCUCCCUCCUCGCGCUCUCACCCUCUCUCUCCGCAGCUCCGCGGAGGAGCUUCACAACACCGUUGGCGAGCAACAGCCAACAUUGAAGGAGAAGAAGGUGAUGCCGCCGCCGAGCGCCCUUGGUCCCAUCCUCUCGACCAUCUCUCCUCAUGCUGCCACCCUCUCGCUCCACAGUUCUUCGGAGGAACCUCACACCGCCGCCAGCAAGAAGCAGCCAGGGGCGAAGGAGGAGAAGCAGCAGCCAGCCCCCAAAGGGAAGCCUAAGAAGCAGCCGCAGCCGCAGCGUCAGGAGUUGAUCAAGGCGACAAAGGAGCAGAAAGGGAAGGCGCCCAUGGUAGAGGUGCCUCCGACCGUCGAGGAGGAGGAGGAGAAGGCGGCCAUGGCGAGGCCGGUGGUGCCGCGGGUCGUUACACAGCUGACGCACGAGGAGAAAGAGGAGGACUGGCUGGCCAUGACGGGCACCAAGCUGCCGCAGUUCCCCCACAGGCGCCCCGAGAUAGUCCAAAAGCAAGUCAACAACAUCUGCCCGGGGGAGUGGCUUUGGCAGGCCAACAGGAACAGGUACAAAGUCAAGGAGAAGAAGUCCGAGAAGCGCGUGGGCGGCCUGAAGGGCAUGGCGACGGAUGACGAGGACUCCAACUCUGACUGA
Molecule: ribosomal RNA, 1896 nt
Filed under: Triticum aestivum (bread wheat)
Lineage: Eukaryota; Viridiplantae; Streptophyta; Magnoliopsida; Poales; Poaceae
Description: partial small subunit ribosomal RNA
Source: RNAcentral